RNAcentral lists this ribosomal RNA (301 nucleotides) under uncultured bacterium. Its description in RNAcentral is "partial 16S ribosomal RNA". It matches the Rfam family "Bacterial small subunit ribosomal RNA", at positions 509 to 809 of the family's 1533-position model. The record is from RNAcentral.
CAGCAGCCGCGGGAAAACGUAGGGGGCAAGCGUUAUCCGGAAUUACUGGGUGUAAAGGGAGCGUAGACGGUUAAACAAGUCUGAAGUGAAAUGCCGGGGCUCAACCCCGGAGCUGCUUUGGGAACUGUAGAACUGGAGUGUCGGAGGGGUAAGCGGAAUCCCCAGUGUAGCGGUGAAAUGCGUAGAUAUUGGGAGGAACACCGGCGGCGAAGGCGGCUUACUGAACGACAACUGACGUUGAGGCUCGAAGGCGUGGGUAGCAAACAGGAUUAGAUACCCCGGUAGUCCCUGUCUCUUAUAA